ACUUUGCAAUGUGCGAAAGCACGACAAGGUUAAUCCGAGUGUUUCCUGCUAAAGGAAUCUUUUGUCAGUCGUAAAACCACUAACGAAUAAGGGGUGGGCAAGUUCUGGUGUCAGCCGCCGCGGUAAAACCAGCACCUCAAGUGGUCAGGAGGAUUAUUGGGCCUAAAGCAUCCGUAGCCUGCUUUGUAAGUUUUCGGUUAAAUCCAUAUGCUCAACAUAUGGGCUGUCGGGAAUACUGCAUAGCUAGGGAGUGGGAGAGGUAGACGGUACUCCGUAGGAAGGGGUAAAAUCCUUUGAUCUAUGGAUGACCACCUGUGGCGAAGGCGGUCUACCAGAACACGUCCGACGGUGAGGGAUGAAAGCUGGGGGAGCAAACCGGGAUUAGAUACCCCGGGUAGU
This 399-nucleotide ribosomal RNA is filed under the name uncultured crenarchaeote. RNAcentral describes it as "bacterial SSU rRNA". It matches the Rfam family "Archaeal small subunit ribosomal RNA", at positions 347 to 745 of the family's 1478-position model. The record is from RNAcentral. Lineage: Archaea; Thermoproteati; Thermoproteota.